AAUAGAUACCCGGGUAGUCCAUGCCGUAAAACGUUGGGAACUAGAUGUAGGGCCUGUUCCACGGGUUCUGUGUCGUAGCUAACGCAUUAAGUUCCCCGCCUGGGGAGUACGGCCGCAAGGCUAAAACUCAAAGGAAUUGACGGGGGCCCGCACAAGCGGCGGAGCAUGCGGAUUAAUUCGAUGCAACGCGAAGAACCUUACCAAGGCUUGACAUAUAGAAGAACACUGCAGAGAUGCAGGACUCUUUGGACACUUCUAUACAGGUGGUGCAUGGUUGUCGUCAGCUCGUGUCGUGAGAUGUUCGGUUAAGUCCGGCAACGAGCGCAACCCUCGUCCUAUGUUGCCAGCACGUAAUGGUGGGAACUCAUGGGAUACUGCCGUGGUCAACACGGAGGAAGGUGGGGAUGACGUCAAAUCAUCAUGCCCCUUAUGUCUUGGGCUUCACGCAUGCUACAAUGGCCGGUACAAAGGGCUGCGAUACCGCAAGGUGAGCGAAUCCCAAAAGCCGGUCUCAGUUCGGAUUGGGGU
RNAcentral lists this ribosomal RNA (528 nucleotides) under uncultured bacterium. RNAcentral's name for it is "bacterial SSU rRNA". It matches the Rfam family "Bacterial small subunit ribosomal RNA", at positions 777 to 1304 of the family's 1533-position model. The record is from RNAcentral.